AUCUUAACCCAUCCAAUAUUGGCCAUUCAUAGGACUCUGAACUUUGGAUAAGAUUAUGAGAACACUAGCCAUACAAUUGAAAAAAAUAAUAAUAAUAAUAUGAGAGGCAACUAGCCACUUGCCCACUUCAUACGUAUGACUUGGUUCAUAUGCUGCCAUAGAAAAAUAGAUAAACUUCAAUUAUUUGCAUAUUUGUUACCAUUAAAGAUAUCCACAAUUAUUGAUGUGGUAAGAUAAACACAGGAAAGGACAAGACAUUCUAUCCACAAAAAAGAAAGAAGAUGAACAAAACUGAGAAAUCCAACACUGCUUGCUAUCGUUUUCAGUAGAGUACUACCUUAUUGAUGUAUCUAUAUUAUUUUUUUGGCUUUCAAACAAAGCUUAUGAAUUCAAUCCUAAAGUUUAAGGAGACAGUCAAUGGCAAUUUGGAAUUGAGUUUUGCAACAGAAAAGAAAAACCAAGCA
RNAcentral lists this unclassified non-coding RNA (464 nucleotides) under Hevea brasiliensis (rubber tree). Lineage: Eukaryota; Viridiplantae; Streptophyta; Magnoliopsida; Malpighiales; Euphorbiaceae. The record is from RNAcentral.